UGGCUCUCGCAUCGAUGAAGAACGCAGCGAAAUGCGAUAAGUAAUGUGAAUUGCAGAAUUCAGUGAAUCAUCGAAUCUUUGAACGCACCUUGCGCUCCUUGGUAUUCCGAGGAGCAUGCCUGUUUGAGUCUCAUGGAAUUCUCAACCUUCAACUUUAUUGAUGAAGGCUUGGACUUGGAGGUCGUGUCGGCUCUAGUAGUCGACUCCUCUGAAAUGCAUUAGUGCGAACGUUACCAGCCGCUUCAGCGUGAUAAUUAUCUGCGUUGCUGUGGAGGGUAAGUGAGUGUUCACGCUUCUAAUCGUCUUCGGACAACAUUUCUGAACUCUGAGCUCAAAUCAGGUAGGACUACCCGCUGA
RNAcentral lists this unclassified non-coding RNA (357 nucleotides) under uncultured fungus. RNAcentral describes it as "partial contains 5.8S ribosomal RNA and internal transcribed spacer 2". The stretch from base 1 to 133 matches the Rfam family "5.8S ribosomal RNA", at positions 22 to 154 of the family's 154-position model. The record is from RNAcentral. Lineage: Eukaryota; Fungi.